UACGAAGGGCGCGUGUGUUAUUCGUUUUAAUUGGGUGUAAAGGGUACGUAGGCCGCUUGCGCGCAGUCUGGACCAAAAUUGCAGAGUGUUCCUAUGCAGUGGUCUUUUACGGUGCGAGCUUGAGCUGGGGAGUGGUUGGGGUAAUUUUUUGUGUAAGGGUAGAAUCUUGCCAGACAAGAACGAACACCAGAUAGCAAAGGCGCCUUUCUAGCCCCAUCUGACGCUAAGGUACGGAAGCUUAGGUAGCAAACAGA
This 254-nucleotide ribosomal RNA is filed under the name uncultured bacterium. Its description in RNAcentral is "partial 16S ribosomal RNA". It matches the Rfam family "Bacterial small subunit ribosomal RNA", at positions 524 to 776 of the family's 1533-position model. The record is from RNAcentral.